AGUGAACGCUGGCGGUAUGCCUAACACAUGCAAGUCGAACGGCAGCACAGUAAGUUCUUUCUCUUACUGGUUGCCAGUGGCGUACGUGUGACGAAUACAUCGUAAUCUACUUUUUCGUGGGACUUAACGUAGCGAAACUUACUCUCAUACCGCAUACGACCUACCGUUGUAAGCACGUGAUCUUCGGACCUUGCUCGCUUCAAUGUGCAGAUGUCUUAUUUGCUAGUUGUGGGGGUAAAGGCCCACCAAGGCGACGAUCCGUAGCUGGUCUGAGAGGAUGAUCAGCAACACUGGAACGGAGAAACGGUCCAGACUCCUAGGGGAGGAAGAAGUGGGGAAUAUUGGAAAAUGGGGGAAAGCCUGAUCAAGAAAGACCGCGUGGGGGAAGAAGGCCUUCGGGUGGUAAAGCCCGUUUGUUGGGAAAGAAAAGCAGGAGGUUAAUAAGCCGAUGUUGUGACGGUACCUAAAGAAUAAGCACCGGCUAACUUCGUG
This 492-nucleotide ribosomal RNA is filed under the name uncultured bacterium. Its description in RNAcentral is "partial 16S ribosomal RNA". It matches the Rfam family "Bacterial small subunit ribosomal RNA", at positions 29 to 507 of the family's 1533-position model. The record is from RNAcentral.